UAAGUGUCCCACCUGGGGAGUACGCCGGCAACGGUGAAACUCAAAGGAAUUGACGGGGGCCCGCACAAGCGGAGGAACAUGUGGUUUAAUUCGAAGCAACGCGAAGAACCUUACCAAAUCUUGACAUCCCUCUGACCGGUCUUUAAUCGGACCUUCUCUUCGGAGCAGAGGUGACAGGUGGUGCAUGGUUGUCGUCAGCUCGUGUCGUGAGAUGUUGGGUUAAGUCCCGCAACGAGCGCAACCCCUAUCCUCAGUAGCCAGCAUUUAAGGUGGGCACUCUGGGGAGACUGCCAGGGAUAACCUGGAGGAAGGCGGGGAUGACGUCAAAUCAUCAUGCCCCUUAUGAUUUGGGCUACACACGUGCUACAAUGGCGUAAACAAAGGGAAGCGAGAUUGUGAGAUGGAGCAAAUCCCAAAAAUAACGUCCCAGUUCGGACUGUAGUCUGCAACCCGACUACACGAAGCUGGAAUCGCUAGUAAUCGCGGAUCAGAAUGCCGCGGUGAAUACGUUCCCGGGUCUUGUACACACCGCCCGUCACACCAUGGGAGUCAGUAACGCCCGAAGUCAGUGACCUAACUGCAAAGAAGGAGCUGCCGAAGGCGGGACCGAUGACUGGGGUGAAGUCGUAACAAGGUAACCGUAAAGGGCGAAUUC
Molecule: ribosomal RNA, 655 nt
Filed under: uncultured Lachnospiraceae bacterium
Lineage: Bacteria; Bacillati; Bacillota; Clostridia; Lachnospirales; Lachnospiraceae
Description: bacterial SSU rRNA
Rfam family: Bacterial small subunit ribosomal RNA
Source: RNAcentral